GCAGGCUGCAACUCGCCUGCAUGAAGUCGGAAUUGCUAGUAAAUCGCAGAUCAGCAUGCUGCGGUGAAUACGUUCCCGGGCCUUGUACACACCGCCCGUCACACCAUGGGAGCCGGUAACACCCGAAGUCGGUAGUCUAACCGAAAGGAGGACGCCGCCGAAGGUGGGAUUGAUGACUGGGGUGAAGUCGUAACAAGGUAUC
RNAcentral lists this ribosomal RNA (202 nucleotides) under uncultured bacterium. RNAcentral describes it as "partial 16S ribosomal RNA". It matches the Rfam family "Bacterial small subunit ribosomal RNA", at positions 1300 to 1500 of the family's 1533-position model. The record is from RNAcentral.